Molecule: ribosomal RNA, 1206 nt
Filed under: Pristimantis jamescameroni
Lineage: Eukaryota; Metazoa; Chordata; Amphibia; Anura; Strabomantidae
Description: partial 16S ribosomal RNA
Rfam family: Bacterial large subunit ribosomal RNA
Source: RNAcentral
GCCAGUCUAAUUAGGCGAAAAGACCUUAAGUCUAACCCCCCGAAACUAAGUGAGCUAUUUUAAGGCUGCUUACUGAGCUAACCCGUCUAUGUUGCAAAAUAGUGGGAAGACCCUAAAAUAGAGGUGAUAAAUCUAACGAACUUAGUUAUAGCUGGUUUCUCAAGAAAAGAAUUUUAGUCCAACCUAAAGUAAAUUAAAUAACCCACACCACAUCCCUUUAGAGCAAUUCAAAUGAGGUACAGCCCAUUUGAUACAGGAUACAACCUUCACCAACGGGUAAAAUUCAAAUAACACUUUGAAGUGGGCCCAAGAGCAGCCAUCUUUCAAAAAGCGUCAAAGCUUAACCCUGUUUUAAAAAAAUUUAAAAAUUCACAUUGACCCCUUCAAUUGUAUUGAGAACUUCUAUAACCCUAUAGAACUUUUUAUGCUAAAACUAGUAACAAGAGGAAACCCCUCUCCUUAAUGCAAGCCUAAGCCAGCAAGAACCCACCGCUGGCAAUUAACACAUAAAGUAGUAACUUUCCCCCGAAAACCCUACUUUCCCCAACUGUCAACCUAACACCAGAGCAUUUAAAGAAAGAUUAAAAGAAAAAGAAGGAAUUCAGCAAACACUAACCCCGCCUGUUUACCAAAAACAUCGCCUCUUGUAAUCAUAAGAGGUCCAGCCUGCCCAGUGACUUUAUUCAACGGCCGCGGUAUUCUAACCGUGCAAAGGUAGCGUAAUCACUUGUUUUCUAAAUAAAGACCAGUAUGAAAGGCAUCACGAGGACUUAACUGUCUCCUUUCUCCAAUCAGUGAACCUAAUCUCCCCGUGAAGAAGCAGGGAUCCCAUUAUAAGACGAGAAGACCCCGUGGAGCUUAAAACAUUAUAACAAUUGCCACCAUCUUUGACCAUCCUGAUACCUCCCCCAGCGGCACCCUGAUUUAUAUGUUUUUGGUUGGGGUGACCGCGGAGAAAAACCCAUCCUCCGCGAUGAAAGGGACUUCCUACCCUAAACAACAAGUUACAACUUUAUGUAUCAAAAAAUUGACAUCCUUUGACCCAAUUAAUUGAUUAACGAACCAAGUUACCCCGGGGAUAACAGCACAAUCCACUUUGAGAGCCCCUAUCGACAAGUGGGCUUAUGACCUCGAUGUUGGAUCAGGAUAUCCUAGUGGUGCAGCCGCUACUAAAGGUUCGUUUGUUCAACGAUUAAAAUCCCACGU